This 253-nucleotide ribosomal RNA is filed under the name uncultured bacterium. RNAcentral describes it as "partial 16S ribosomal RNA". It matches the Rfam family "Bacterial small subunit ribosomal RNA", at positions 524 to 776 of the family's 1533-position model. The record is from RNAcentral.
UACGGAGGGUGCAAGCGUUGUCCGGAUUCAUUGGGUUAAAAGGGUGCGCAGGCGGGACAUUAAGUCAGGGGUGAAAGACGGUUGCUCAACAAUCGCAGUGCCUUUGAUACUGGUGUUCUUGGGUGACCUUGAGGUAGGCGGAAUGGGUGGUGUAGCGGUGAAAUGCAUAGAUACCACCCAGAACUCCGAUUGCGAAGGCAGCCUACUGGAGGUUUACCGACGCUCAGGCACGAAAGCGUGGGGAUCAAACAGG